This 409-nucleotide ribosomal RNA is filed under the name uncultured Sordariales. Its description in RNAcentral is "eukaryotic LSU rRNA". The stretch from base 44 to 197 matches the Rfam family "5.8S ribosomal RNA". The record is from RNAcentral. Lineage: Eukaryota; Fungi; Ascomycota; Sordariomycetes; Sordariales.
CCUCUCGUACAGUGUAUUCUCGAGUAACCAAAAAAUAAGUCAAAACUUUCAACAACGGAUCUCUUGGUUCUGGCAUCGAUGAAGAACGCAGCGAAAUGCGAUAAGUAAUGUGAAUUGCAGAAUUCAGUGAAUCAUCGAAUCUUUGAACGCACAUUGCGCCCGCCAGUAUUCUGGCGGGCAUGCCUGUUCGAGCGUCAUUUCAACCAUCAAGCCCUGUCUAGGCUUGUGUUGGGGCCCUGCGGCUACCGCAGCCCCCUAAAUGCAGUGGCGGGCUCGUUGUCACUCCGAGCGCAGUAGCGUAUCUCGCUCUGGGCGUGGCGGCGGGUGCUAGCCGUGAAACACCCACUAAGGUUGACCUCGGAUCAGGUAGGAAUACCCGCUAAACUUAAGCAUAUCAAUAAGCGGAGGA